This 1442-nucleotide ribosomal RNA is filed under the name Crangonyx sp. 1 TRS-2023a. Its description in RNAcentral is "SSU rRNA". It matches the Rfam family "Eukaryotic small subunit ribosomal RNA", at positions 87 to 1250 of the family's 1831-position model. The record is from RNAcentral. Lineage: Eukaryota; Metazoa; Arthropoda; Malacostraca; Amphipoda; Crangonyctidae.
CCGCGUACGGCUCAUUAAAUCAGUCGUGGUCCAAAUGGGCCAGUGCUUAUCCUACUUGGAUAACUGUGGUAAUUCCAGAGCUAAUAUAUGCAACUCAUACCCCGAAGGCCGCGCUCUUGCAGUGUGCGCUGGACGGGUGCUUUUAUUAGACCAAACCGCUGAGGGUGUGUUAGCCUCCCGGGGCGCACGCUUGACUCGCAUGAUGGUGACUCUGGAUAACCUUUGACAAGCGCACGUACCACUCUUUUGAGCGGACGGCGCUGCCACUUUCGAGUGUCUGCCUUAUCAGCUAUCAACCGUUCGUUACGUGCGACCGAUGGCUUUGACGGGUAACGGGGAAUCAGGGUUCGAUUCCGGAGAGGCAGCCUGAGAGACGGCUACCACGUCCAAGGACGGCAGCAGGCGCGCAAAUUACCCAAUCCCAGCUUCUGGGGGAGGUAGUGACGAAAUCUAACGAUGCGGGCGCCCUUUCUAGGGCCCCGCAAUCGGAAUGAGCACUUUCUAAACAACCUGUUGAGAACCUACUGAAGGGCAAGUCUGGUGCCAGCAGCCGCGGUAAUUCCAGCUUCAGCAGCAUCUAUUAAAGUUGCUGCGGUUAAAAGGCUCGCAGUUGAAUGUCAGUGCCGGGCGCAGGUUAGGUGGACGCUGGGGUGUGAGAACCAACACGGCACGGGCUUCGUCUGGAUGCUUGUCAGCUUGCUGGCCUUCCAGGGGUGGCACCGACCGUGUCUCACAAACUCCCGUCCGUGACAAGCCUCCUCGCCCGCGUACAUAUGGGGAAUUGGUUUCGGAGGCGUGCGAACGGCGGCUUCUCUCACGUGUGUGCUGGCUCACGCUGGCCAUACCUGGGGUUGUGUCAGCCACGUGCGUUCUCUUUGUGGUUUCAGAGUCACCUUGAGUAAAUCAGAGUGCUCAAAGCAGUCGUAGGGGCCUUGCGCCCUGUGAAAAGUCUUGACGGACUGACUGGUUAUGCAUGGCAUGUCGGAAGACGACGUCGCGUGCUGGCUCAGAGCUUGAUCAGUGGUAUAAGCCAGCCGCGACGUACUGAUUAAAAGGGACGGUCGAGGGCAUUGGUAUUGCGAGGCGAGAGGUGAAAUUCUAUGACCCCCGCAAGACCUCCUGAAGCGAACGCGUCUGCCAAGGACGUUUUCAUUAAUCAUGAACGAAAGUUAGAGGAUCGAAGGCGAUCAGAUACCGCCCUAGUUCUAACCCUAAACGAUGCCAACCAUCAAUCCGCGCGUAGCACCCUUUUUAACGGGCUCGGCGGGCAGCUCCUUACCCACGGGAAACCAGAGUCUCUGGGUUCCGGGGGGAGUCUGGUUGCAAAGCUGAAACUUAAAGGAAUUGACGGAAAGGCACCACCAGGCGUGGAGCCUGCGGCUUAAUUUGACUCAACACGGGCCAUCUCACCAGGCCAGCACUCUUGUACGAUUGACAGAUUG